CCUACGCGAGGCAGCAGUGAGGAAUAUUGGUCAAUGGGCGGAAGCCUGAACCAGCCAAGUCGCGUGAGGGAAUAAGGCCCUACGGGUCGUAAACCUCUUUUGCCGGGGAGCAAAGGCGGGGACGUGUCCCGGCCCGGAGAGUACCCAGAGAACAAGCAUCGGCUAACUCCGUGCACGCAGCCGCGGUAAUACGUAGGAUGCGAGCGUUAUCCGGAUUUAUUGGGUUUAAAGGGUGCGUAGGCGGGCUGUUAAGUCAGCGGUAAAAAUUCGGGGCUCAACCCCGUCUGGUCGUUGAAACUGGGGGCCUUGAGUGGGCGAGAAGAAGGCGGAAUGCGUGGUGUAGCGGUGAAAUGCAUAGAUAUCACGCAGAACCCCGAUUGCGAAGGCAGCCUUCCGGCGCCCUACUGACGCUGAGGCACGAAAGUGCGGGGAUCGAACAGGAUUAGAUACCCGAGUAGUC
This 460-nucleotide ribosomal RNA is filed under the name uncultured bacterium. RNAcentral's name for it is "partial 16S ribosomal RNA". It matches the Rfam family "Bacterial small subunit ribosomal RNA", at positions 338 to 795 of the family's 1533-position model. The record is from RNAcentral.